AGGGGGAGGGCGAGGAGGGCACCCCCCCCACCCCUGCACGGGCACCCUCCAACUUCAGGACUUGUGAGUCGUACUUUUGGGGACGACCGUCCCGUUUCAGGCGUGACACCGGCGCGGCUCUGACAGACAACACCGUGCGGGGCUACAACGUGCCCCGUGUCGGCGAGCACCCCUCGGGCGCGUUCGGUGCCGGCCGGGUGUAUUUCCGUUCCCUGCGUGCUGCGCCGCGCUGUCUUACCUUUGCUGGAGGGAACGUACCGUUGGCGAGGCUCCCGUCUCCGUGGAGGGUGACGGCACCAGCCGAGCGACCUGCGAUGUCGCUAAAAGCCUAAACUGCAUCCGCAUCUGGGGGGCACCGGCGCUGUCCCUGCAGGAGCCGGGUCCCGAGGGGCUGUCGGUGCAAACUUGCUGCGGAAACAUAUUGACUAGUGCAAAGAUGUAAAAAGAUGGCUGUUGCUGCUGAAAUGCCAUACGUGACCAUUCGGUACCUCGUGCUAUUAAAGAUGGUCUGUUCGGUGACUCUGUGUAACCAUACGUGUCAGCCCAAAGUGUUUCGAUUUGAUGUCAUUUAAUAGUCUGGCAAGUUUUGCAAUAACAAAGUGGAUUAAAUUAGGAGGAAUUACAUUGUGUAGAAGCCACUGGAUGCCAGAGGGACCGUGACUGUGGCCCCUGCGAGGAAGGCAGAGCGGACCCGGGGAUAGCUUACAGCAUUGAGAGGCUUAGGAAAUCUGAUUUUGGAGGUUACAGGCCUACUGUCCUGUUAAGUGCAUGAGUCUGCCUAAUCCUCUUUUGAACCAAAGUGAAUUAUCAGCCACUACAACCUCCUGUGGCAAUGAGUUCCACAAGUAAAUGACGCAUGUGAAAAAAUUCUCUUGUUUUGCUUUAAACACACUCCCUAAUAAUAUCAUUGUUUGUUCCCUACUUCUAGUAUUGUGAGAGAUGGUAAAUAAUAAAUACCUAUUUCCUUUCUU
Molecule: long non-coding RNA, 971 nt
Organism: Alligator sinensis (Chinese alligator)
Lineage: Eukaryota; Metazoa; Chordata; Crocodylia; Alligatoridae
Exons: 2
Source: RefSeq, a predicted model, not a curated record